This 497-nucleotide ribosomal RNA is filed under the name uncultured bacterium. RNAcentral's name for it is "partial 16S ribosomal RNA". It matches the Rfam family "Bacterial small subunit ribosomal RNA", at positions 28 to 507 of the family's 1533-position model. The record is from RNAcentral.
GAUGAACGCUGGCGGCGUGCCUAAUACAUGCAAGUCGAGCGAACAGACGAGGAGCUUGCUCCUCUGACGUUAGCGGCGGACGGGUGAGUAACACGUGGAUAACCUACCUAUAAGACUGGGAUAACUUCGGGAAACCGGAGCUAAUACCGGAUAAUAUAUUGAACGGCAUGGUUCAAUAGUGAAAGACGGUUUUGCUGUUACUUAUAGAUGGAUCCGCGUCGCAUUAGCUAGUUGGUAAGGUAACGGCUUACCAAGGCAACGAUGCGUAGCCGACCUGAGAGGGUGAUCGGCCACACUGGAACUGAGACACGGUCCAGACUCCUACGGGAGGCAGCAGUAGGGAAUCUUCCGCAAUGGGCGAAAGCCUGACGGAGCAACGCCGCGUGAGUGAUGAAGGUCUUCGGAUCGUAAAACUCUGUUAUUAGGGAAGAACAAAUGUGUAAGUAACUAUGCACGUCUUGACGGUACCUAAACAGAAAGCCACGGCUAACUACGUG